Molecule: ribosomal RNA, 620 nt
Filed under: uncultured bacterium
Lineage: Bacteria
Description: bacterial SSU rRNA
Rfam family: Bacterial small subunit ribosomal RNA
Source: RNAcentral
CCUACGGGAGGCAGCAGUGGGGAAUUUUGGACAAUGGGCGAAAGCCUGAUCCAGCCAUUCCGCGUGAGUGAAGAAGGCCUUCGGGUUGUAAAGCUCUUUCGCAAGGGAAGAAAACUUAGAUACUAAUAUUAUCUGAGGUUGACGGUACCUUGAUAAGAAGCACCGGCUAACUACGUGCCAGCAGCCGCGGUAAUACGUAGGGUGCGAGCGUUAAUCGGAAUUACUGGGCGUAAAGCGUGCGCAGGCGGUUUUGUAAGUCAGAUGUGAAAUCCCCGAGCUCAACUUGGGAACUGCGUUUGAAACUACAAGACUAGAAUAUGUCAGAGGGGGGUAGAAUUCCACGUGUAGCAGUGAAAUGCGUAGAGAUGUGGAGGAAUACCAAUGGCGAAGGCAGCCCCCUGGGAUAAUAUUGACGCUCAUGCACGAAAGCGUGGGGAGCAAACAGGAUUAGAUACCCUGGUAGUCCACGCCCUAAACGAUGUCUACUAGUUGUUGGUGGAGUAAAAUCCAUGAGUAACGCAGCUAACGCGUGAAGUAGACCGCCUGGGGGAUACGGUCGCAAGNUUAAAACUCAAAUGAAUUGACCGGNUGAGACAGCGAGACGACGACGAGGGAGGAGG